Molecule: long non-coding RNA, 690 nt
Organism: Larimichthys crocea (large yellow croaker)
Lineage: Eukaryota; Metazoa; Chordata; Actinopteri; Sciaenidae
Exons: 3
Source: RefSeq, a predicted model, not a curated record
ACGGAGGAGCAGACACGUGGUUUUGAUGAAGACAUAAAUUGAGCCGCAGCUUCAUUAACGACCUCUCUUCUCUUCCUUGUUGCGGUGGUGGAGGUCGGACAGCAGCAUGCGUGAAGCUUCGCUCCCGGACUGAAGAGCACAGACUGGAUACAUCAUCAGGUAAUGGACAGUUCACAACUGGAUCAUCACUUAGAUUUAAGUGUAUAAGGACAAAAUUGAAUGAGUGUUCAUCAUUUGAUGUUUUGAACUCUCUGAUUUACUGUUAAAUGUUGAAAUGACUUUAUAAUGUAUGCCCAUGUAAGAUCCAAAUCCAUACUGAGUUCUGACUUUCUUAAAUAAAACAUUGAACUACUAUAAAACUCAUGUCUUUAUUUGCAGUUCAAAGAGGUAAUAUGUUAAUUACUAGAAAGUAAAAUAUGCCAGCAAGAUGUUGUGAAAAAUGGCAUGUUCAAGGACCAACUAAUCUUUGAAUCUGUAAAGCUUGCUACACACUUUUUGAUGCAUACAAAUGUGCCAUGCACUCUUUUACUGAGCUGGUUGAAGUUUGUCAAAGGUAAUUUGUACUUUGAGGUACUGCAGGGUGUUCUGUUGUAGGUAAAUGAAGUUGCCAGAUACAAUAGUGAAAUUCAACACCACUGCAACCAUAACAAGUUACACCUCCUGUGACAGUAAAAACAUCCGUAAGAGCUG